Small nuclear RNA from Suncus etruscus (white-toothed pygmy shrew), 107 nucleotides. The record is from RefSeq and is a predicted model, not a curated record. NCBI's taxonomy places the organism in Eukaryota, Metazoa, Chordata, Mammalia, Eulipotyphla, Soricidae.
GUACUCACCCUGGCAGCACAUAUACUAAUAUAUGAACAAUACAGAGAAGAUUAGCAUAGCCUCAACUCAAGGAUGACACACACAUUCAUGAAGCAUCCCAGUUUUUU